ACCCGCUGAACUUAAGCAUAUCAAUAAGCGGAGGAAAAGAAACUAACAAGGAUUCCCCUAGUAACGGCGAGUGAAGCGGGAAGAGCUCAAAUUUGUAAUCUGGCACCUUCGGUGUCCGAGUUGUAAUCUCGAGAAGUGUUUUCCGCGCCGGACCGCAUACAAGUCUGUUGGAAUACAGCGUCAUAGUGGUGAAAACCCCGUAACUGAUGCGGAUGCCCGGUGCUUUGUGAUACACUUUCGAAGAGUCGAGUUGUUUGGGAAUGCAGCUCAAAUUGGGUGGUAAAUUCCAUCUAAAGCUAAAUAUUGGCGAGAGACCGAUAGCGAACAAGUACCGUGAGGGAAAGAUGAAAAGCACUUUGGAAAGAGAGUUAACAGUACGUGAAAUUGUUGGAAGGGAAACGCUUGAAGUCAGACUUGCUAUUUGGAAUUCAGCCGCAAGGUGUACUUUUCAAUUCGCAGGCCAGCAUCAGUUUUUGGGGGUGGAAAAGGGUAGAGAGAAGGUAGCAAUUUCGGUUGUGUUAUAGCUCUUUGCUGGAUUCAUCCUUGGGGACUGAGGAACGCAGCACGCUUUUUGCAAGGCUUUCGAGCUUUUCGUGCUUAGGAUGCUGGUGGAAUGGCUUUAAACGGCCCGUCUUGAAACACGG
This 644-nucleotide ribosomal RNA is filed under the name uncultured fungus. RNAcentral describes it as "eukaryotic LSU rRNA". It matches the Rfam family "Eukaryotic large subunit ribosomal RNA", at positions 23 to 664 of the family's 3401-position model. Lineage: Eukaryota; Fungi. The record is from RNAcentral.